GUGAGGAAUAUUGGUCAAUGGACGCAAGUCUGAACCAGCCAAGUCGCGUGAAGGACGACGGCCCUACGGGUUGUAAACUUCUUUUGCAAGGGAAUAAAGUGGCCCACGUGUGGGCUUUUGCAUGUACCUUGCGAAUAAGGAUCGGCUAACUCCGUGCCAGCAGCCGCGGUAAUACGGAGGAUCCGAGCGUUAUCCGGAUUUAUUGGGUUUAAAGGGUGCGCAGGCGGGAUGUUAAGUCGGCGGUGAAAUUUUGCGGCUCAACCGUAAAAGUGCCUUCGAAACUGGCAUCAUUGAGUAUGGAUGAAGUAGGCGGAAUUCGUGGUGUAGCGGUGAAAUGCAUAGAUAUCACGAAGAACCCCGAUUGCGCAGGCAGCUUACUAAACCAUAACUGACGCUCAUGCACGAAGGCGUGGGGAUCAAACAGGAUUAGAAACCCCUGUAGUCC
This 445-nucleotide ribosomal RNA is filed under the name uncultured bacterium. RNAcentral's name for it is "partial 16S ribosomal RNA". It matches the Rfam family "Bacterial small subunit ribosomal RNA", at positions 354 to 796 of the family's 1533-position model. The record is from RNAcentral.